This 429-nucleotide long non-coding RNA is filed under the name Lathyrus oleraceus (garden pea). RNAcentral's name for it is "Pisum sativum (pea) long non-coding RNA (PSAT_LNC041654)". The record is from RNAcentral. Lineage: Eukaryota; Viridiplantae; Streptophyta; Magnoliopsida; Fabales; Fabaceae.
CGAAAUCAAGAAACAAUCUCUCUUCAAAACAUAAAUUCAAUAUCAACCAUCAACAUUUUUGUAUUGGCCUUAGAGUAUCACUUUGAAAACCCUUUUUCAAGCUAUAAAAUCAACAAAACAAACCAAGAUUUUGUACCACGAACUACGGGACUCUGAUUUCUCUGAUUUCUCACUUCGACAAGACUCAUUCAAGCAUAGACAUCCUAGACGAUGGAUGUGAGAGGUGAUAAUAUCUUCCCUUUGCAUAAUCGAUUUGUGAACCUUCGUGAUUGUGAUGACCCUUUUUUUGGGAUUUUCUCUAUAUUUUUCUUUUCCUAUGAAAUAAAUAAAAUCUAAUGGCGACUCUGUAUUUUUCGCUUAGCGACAAUGGUAUGAAUAUGUAUAAGUGUAGAUGUUAAUUUUUAUCAUUAGAGAUAAGUAUGAAUAAUU